GGUCAUGAGUGUCAGCGUCAAGCCCCGGCUUGCUGAACGGCAACCCUCCAACCGCGGUGGGGUGCUCCGGGUGAUGACCAGGUUGUGGGGGUGCGUUCGCGUUCCUCCCCGGCAAGCGCGGGUC
RNAcentral lists this non-coding RNA (124 nucleotides) under Gordonia soli. Its description in RNAcentral is "SAM-IV sequence". It matches the Rfam family "SAM (S-adenosyl methionine) riboswitch aptamer". From Rfam's summary of the family: SAM-IV is a mRNA element that regulates gene expression via direct sensing of S-adenosylmethionine (SAM or AdoMet). SAM-IV riboswitches share conserved nucleotide positions with the previously described SAM-I riboswitches sequence analysis and molecular recognition experiments suggest that SAM-I and SAM-IV riboswitches share similar ligand binding sites, but have different scaffolds. Lineage: Bacteria; Bacillati; Actinomycetota; Actinomycetes; Mycobacteriales; Gordoniaceae. The record is from RNAcentral. RNAcentral also lists the same sequence under 1 other name.